RNAcentral lists this non-coding RNA (202 nucleotides) under Clostridiales bacterium. RNAcentral describes it as "6S RNA". It matches the Rfam family "6S / SsrS RNA". Rfam says of the family: E. coli 6S RNA was the first non coding RNA to be sequenced, but its function was unknown until recently. It consists of 184 nucleotides that fold into an extended hairpin structure with a large single-stranded internal bulge. The 6S RNA specifically associates with RNA polymerase holoenzyme containing the sigma70 specificity factor. Lineage: Bacteria; Bacillati; Bacillota; Clostridia; Eubacteriales. The record is from RNAcentral.
AUUAGCCUGCGGUUCUCGCGAUUUUGAUUUGUAUUUAACCCACAAAACUCGAUAACGGGCUUCCGGGCUUCCGCCGUGGUUUGCAGGCCUCCCCGCACGAUUGUGCGGGAUGUUGGAAGCAGUAAAGCGUCGGAGAGGUCGCCCACCUGCUGAUAAUGUGCAGGUUAUUUAUCGAACGGAACGCGGUCCUCGCGGGUUUCGC